RNAcentral lists this ribosomal RNA (774 nucleotides) under uncultured Neocallimastigales. RNAcentral's name for it is "partial large subunit ribosomal RNA". It matches the Rfam family "Eukaryotic large subunit ribosomal RNA", at positions 23 to 635 of the family's 3401-position model. The record is from RNAcentral. Lineage: Eukaryota; Fungi; Neocallimastigomycota; Neocallimastigomycetes; Neocallimastigales.
GAGACUCUGUGCGCGUGCAUAUCAAUAAGCGGAGGAAAAGAAACUAACAAGGAUUCCCUUAGUAACGGCGAGUGAAGCGGGAAGAGCUCAAAUUUGAAAUCUUCAAGGUUCUACCUUGACGAAUUGUAGUUUAUAGAAGUGUUUUCUGUUAGUAGAGUGGCAAAAGUUCUUUGGAAUAGGACAUCAUAGAGGGUGAGAAUCCCGUAUUUGGUCAUUCUUCCUAGCGUUGUGAUACACUUUCAACGAGUCGGAUUGUUUGGGAAUGCAGUCCAAAAUGGGUGGUAAAUUUCAUCUAAAGCUAAAUAUUGGCGAGAGACCGAUAGCGAACAAGUACCGUGAGGGAAAGAUGAGAAGAACUUUGAAAAGAGAGUUAAACAGUACGUGAAAUUGUCAAAAGGGAAGCGUUUGACACCAGUGUUGUUUUUCCGAAAAUCAAUUACGAAUGUUUUAUUUUUGAGGAGUUAUGACUUCAUCGGCUUGCUCCUUUCUUUAUGAAACUUUCUUAAUGCACUUUUCGGUUAACAAGUCAACAUCAAUUUCUUUUGUUGUAAAAGGGUAUGAGGAAGGUGGCUUUCUUUUCGGAGAAAGUGUUUAUAGCCUUGUGCCUCUGCAAUCGGAGAGAUUGAGGUCUGCAGCGUAGAUCCUUCGGGGUUAGAUACGUUUGUGCUAAGUUAUAGCUUUUCAUAGACAACUUGUUGACUAUGUUUAGUCUUGUAGCUUACUCGCUUACGCUAUUUUACCUACGCUUAGGAUGUUGACAGCAGUAUAGACUGU